GGCCUACCAUGGUGGUAACGGGUAACGGGGUGUUAGGGCACGACACCGGAGAGGGAGCCUGAGAAACGGCUACCACAUCCAAGGAUGGCAGCAGGCGCGCAAAUUACCCAAUCCCGACACGGGGAGGUAGUGACAAUAAAUAACAAUACGGGGUUCUUUCGGAUCUCGUAAUUGGAAUGAGUACAAUUUAAAUCUCUUAACGAGGAACAAUUGGAGGGCAAGUCUGGUGCCAGCAGCCGCGGUAAUUCCAGCUCCAAUAGCGUAUAUUAAAGUUGUUGCAGUUAAAAAGCUCGUAGUUGAAUUUCGGGGUCAGUAGGUUGGUCGUGCCACAGGUAUGAACUGGUCUCACUGAUUCCUCCUUCCUGAUGAACCGUAAUGCCAUUAAUUUGGUGUUGCAGGGAAUCUGGACUGUUACUUUGAAAAAAUUAGAGUGUUUAAAGCAGGCUAACGCUUGAAUACAUUUGCAUGGAAUAAUGAAAUAGGACGUUCGAUCCUAUUUUGUUGGUUUCUAGGAUUGACGUAAUGAUUAAUAGGGAUAGUUGGGGGCAUUAGUAUUCAAUUGUCAGAGGUGAAAUUCUUGGAUUUAUUGAAGACUAACUACUGCGAAAGCAUUUGCCAAGGAUGUUUUCAUUAAUCAAGAACGAAAGUUAGGGGAUCGAAGACGAUCAGAUACCGUCGUAGUCUUAACCAUAAACUAUGCCGACUAGGAAUCGGGCGAUGUUGAAAAAUGACGCGCUCGGCACCUCAUG
RNAcentral lists this ribosomal RNA (749 nucleotides) under uncultured Glomeromycotina. RNAcentral describes it as "SSU rRNA". It matches the Rfam family "Eukaryotic small subunit ribosomal RNA", at positions 338 to 1092 of the family's 1831-position model. The record is from RNAcentral. Lineage: Eukaryota; Fungi; Glomeromycota.